GUUUGUAUUGUGGCGAGUAGACGAGCAAGUGAUUGAGGAUCCAGGUGUUCAGCAGGUAGAAGUUGCUGAGCAGGAGCUCAUUGAAGGCAAGUUGUGCCCUUGACCACUUUUAUUUACCCAAUAAUGUUCUUUAUAAUCAUUUUGGCAUGCAUAGGCUUAAUUUUGAUGGAACCCAAUAGGUCACCCUAGUUUGGUAAUCUUUACACCUUGUUUAUCCCUGAACUUUUGUGUAGUCUUUGUUAUUGCUAUAUAUGGUUUUGGGUGUUGAGAUACUUAUUACAUAUGGUCAUUCUUUAUUAUUAUUAUUGUUCUAUUUCUGUUCAUGAUAAGACUAUUAUGUUAAUUGGAACAUGGAGCUUAACUUGAGAAACACGUACCACCACAAGGCUUGAAUGGGAUGCCAUUGGCUGACUAAUUAGGAAAGCUAGUGGAGGUCUACCUUACCCGAAAGGGGCAAGGGCAGUAGGGGAGUUGGCGUGUAGGGAGGUUCUCGGGUUGAUUUUGCUGUGAUGGCGGUCAGACGGGGGAUUCCUGCAUUGAGCUUCCUGGAAACUGUAGUGGGUUUUCCGAAGCUAGUGGAACUUUGUAAAGGCCUCGUAGCGUUACCUUGCCUCGCUUCCUUGGUAGAGGUGUAUGGGGUCCAUACAACCCCGUGGCAGAUGGGUAACAUGACUUGUGGGUACAUGGUACAACCUCUGUAGAGUGUAAAACUAGUAUACUAGCCAUGCUCACGGUCAUGAGCAGCUCAGGACUCUCGCAUGAUUAACUUAUGGAAUUAAAUUCAAUUUGUCAUUUGCAUCACAUUUUGGUUUAUUAUUAAUUUUGAUCUAUUAUUACUUUGGUUUGGUAUCUACUUACAUUUAGUAACUGCUAAUAAAAUUUGACCAACUUAUUAAAAGCAAUGCUCAGCUUUAACCCUUAUUUCUUGAUCAGCCUUACACUUCACAUGAACUCUCACCUUUGGUGAGUUCAUGCACAUUAUUCCCCACAACUUGUUGAGCUAUGAUAUUUUGUGAGCUCACCCUUGCGAUAUAUAAUCCCCCCCCACAUGAGAAGAACAGGUGCUCCAGAAGGAGCCCUACAAUGAGGAGUACGAGCUUAUCUAGGUGGCGUCUCCCAGUCAGCUUUAUGGCGCCAAGGAUUAAUAUUUAGUUCACUUUACUGUUAUCAUUUAUUUAUGUAAGACUUCCGCUAUGUAAUAAUGAUAUUUGUGACAUUUAUCUCUAUACACUUUGUCAUUAUAUGUGAUGUUCUUCUUUGGCGCACAUAUGAGACACACCC
RNAcentral lists this long non-coding RNA (1281 nucleotides) under Zea mays. RNAcentral describes it as "drought responsive lncRNA". Lineage: Eukaryota; Viridiplantae; Streptophyta; Magnoliopsida; Poales; Poaceae. The record is from RNAcentral.